GGUCAAGAGCGACCAGCGAUACGCCCUCCGCGUGCUGGUCCGGCAACCGCGCCACCCCGCGCACGGUGCCCCAGGAGGAAGACCGGCCCGCCACGACCGUGGCGGGAAGGAGCGAAG
This 117-nucleotide non-coding RNA is filed under the name Paraoerskovia marina. RNAcentral describes it as "SAM-IV sequence". It matches the Rfam family "SAM (S-adenosyl methionine) riboswitch aptamer". Rfam says of the family: SAM-IV is a mRNA element that regulates gene expression via direct sensing of S-adenosylmethionine (SAM or AdoMet). SAM-IV riboswitches share conserved nucleotide positions with the previously described SAM-I riboswitches sequence analysis and molecular recognition experiments suggest that SAM-I and SAM-IV riboswitches share similar ligand binding sites, but have different scaffolds. The record is from Rfam by way of RNAcentral. Lineage: Bacteria; Bacillati; Actinomycetota; Actinomycetes; Micrococcales; Cellulomonadaceae.